Molecule: ribosomal RNA, 380 nt
Filed under: uncultured eukaryote
Lineage: Eukaryota
Description: partial 18S ribosomal RNA
Rfam family: Eukaryotic small subunit ribosomal RNA
Source: RNAcentral
CAAUAGCGUAUAUUAAAGUUGUUGCAGUUAAAAAGCUCGUAGUUGGAUUUGUGGCGUACGGUGUGUUCCGGGCACUUGUUGUCUGAGUAACCUGCUGUUGCCAUCCUUGGGUGGAACCUGUGUGGCAUUAGGUUGUCGUGCAGGGGAUGCCCAUCAUUUACUGUGAAAAAAUUAGAGUGUUCAAAGCAGGCUUAUGCCGUUGAAUAUAUUAGCAUGGAAUAGUGAGAUAGGACUUUUUUGCUAUUUUGUUGGUUUGCGCAAAGAGGUAAUGAUUAAUAGGGACAGUUGGGGAUAUUCGUAUUCCAUUGUCAGAGGUGAAAUUCUUGGAUUUUUGGAAGACGAACUACUGCGAAAGCAUUUACCAAGGAUGUUUUCAUUAA